UCGAACGUGGUGUAUGGUGCACGGCCCUGAAUUAUAUAUAUCUUGUCAGACGCGGUACAUUUAUCAGGGCAGGACGGGGUUCGAUUCCCCGCGUUCGAA
Molecule: non-coding RNA, 99 nt
Organism: Mycena latifolia
Lineage: Eukaryota; Fungi; Basidiomycota; Agaricomycetes; Agaricales; Mycenaceae
Source: the annotation of a GenBank genome assembly